CUUUGGGGCAUUUAAUUAUAAGAAACAUACAUACAAUUAUCUGUUAAAUGUGGAUGUUUUGUCACCUGCUUUCAUUUCAAUAAAUGUGCAAAUAAUUGAAUGUUUCAGCAAAAAUCAGAGAUUAGACAAAAACUGCGUUUAAUGAUGUCACAUCCCCUCAGACGUUUCUGCUGCUCCCAUUGGAUGUUGGAAGUCACAUGACUGCUGGAUGAGGAAGUAUCUGGAAGAACAGGUGUAUAAGUGAGGCAGCAUGGGGAGUUUUCAGCUCGCUAUACCUGGCUACAGCAGCAACAAGCUGCUGAUACUCGUGAUUUUACUUGAGCAGCAGUUUUAGUGAAGACGUUUCUGCUGCUCCCAUUGGAUGUUGGAAGUCACAUGACUGCUGGAUGAGGAAGUAUCUGGAAGAACAGGUGUAUAAGUGAGGCAGCAUGGGGAGUUUUCAGCUCGCUAUACCUGGCCUACAGGUUAUUGUGAAGAAAAAGGAAGUUAUCAAGCCAAUUUCAUAAAGAAAUUCAAACUUCCAGCGGCUACAACAGCAACAAGCUGCUGAUGCUCAUGUGCUUUUACUGGAGCAGGAGUUAUAUUGAAGUGUAAUCUGUUACCAGGAGCGUCCAGAUGGAGGCGGUGUGGCUCUUCCCUCAGAGCAGACAUGACUCACCACAGCUGACUCGUGCUGCAGCAUCACUUCAUUAUCUCAUUCACAAAAAAAAAAAAAAAAAUACAACCAUUAACUCCUCGGCGGGGCACUUGUGAGGAAUAUCAACUAAAUGAAAGGCUGCGAGAGCCAUAAAAGCAGCGCAAUCACAUCGAGCUACUUAAUUUGAUGGACUAUUUUAUCUGGAUACGCUGCAUUUAUUGUAUCUCCAUUAAAAGGUCAUGUUGGCUCUAAAUCAAGACGCUUAAUGGCCUGAGCAUUUGCCAACAGUAAGGGGAGAAAAAUAGCAAUUGUUAGAAGACAAACAGCCAGCACUGUUAAAAUAAUUGAAAGUAAUGAAAAGGAUUGGACGAUAGAAAACUUUAAGUCAAUAUAGUAUAUAAGCCCCAUUCAUAUGCAUUUCCAUAAUAGUAGCAGGUUUAUUUGCAUAUUUAAAAGAUAUAGAAAUGGGUGUCUUUCCAAUAUAUUCCUAAUAUUAAUAUCUGCAGAGAAAUUUAUUAGUAAAAAGUAAAAUUUCCCAGCUUUAGUGUCUAUUUUCUAAAUCAACAAAUUGAACUAAAAAGUUUCAGAAAAUAUGAAAAAAAUACAAUAAACCUCACAAUAAAUUGAUUUUUUUUCCCCAAGUUUUUGAAAUAAUCAGUUGAGCUGCAGAAAUCAUCAAAUUCAACAAUAGAUGUGAAGAAAUGACAUGAAAUCUCACAAUUUCUGGCAAUUUAUUCCAAAAAACCUCUAGGAUUUUUCAACUUAACUGUGUGUUUUCUGAAGCAAUCGAACCACUGAGCUGCAGAAAUCCUCAAACUGAACAUAAAAGUUUCAGAAAAUGUGAAAAACUAACAUUCAAUAUCUACAUUUGUUGAGAGAUUUAAUGUAAUUUCUAGCAAUUUAUCAUUAAAAAGCAGGAAUUCUUAACUUUGGUGACUGUUUUAAAUAUUAAUCAAACUUCUGAGCUGCAAAAAUCACCAAAUUGUACAAGAAAGUUUCAGUUAAUAUGAAGAAAUUACAUUAAAUAUCACUGUUUCUUUUGAAAUUUAAUGACAUUUCUAGCAAUUUAUUUUAAAAGGCU
Amphiprion ocellaris (clown anemonefish) is the source of this 1718-nucleotide long non-coding RNA. Lineage: Eukaryota; Metazoa; Chordata; Actinopteri; Pomacentridae. The record is from Ensembl.